Molecule: ribosomal RNA, 422 nt
Filed under: uncultured bacterium
Lineage: Bacteria
Description: bacterial SSU rRNA
Rfam family: Bacterial small subunit ribosomal RNA
Source: RNAcentral
UGGGGAAUAUUGCACAAUGGGGGGAACCCUGAUGCAGCGACGCCGCGUGGGUGAAGGAGUCAUUCGUGACGUAAAGCCCUAUCGGCAGGGAAGAAGAAGUGCCCUGUGGGCACCUGGACGGUACCUGAGCAAGAAGCCCCGGCUAACUACGUGCCAGCAGCCGCGGUAAUACGUAGGGGGCGAGCGUUAUCCGGAUUCACUGGGUGUAAAGGGAGCGUAGACGGCGGCGCAAGCCGGGGGUGAAAGCCCAGGGCCCAACCCUGGGACUGCCCUAGGAACUGCGCGGCUGGAGUGCGGGAGGGGCAGGCGGAAUUCCUGGUGUAGCGGUGAAAUGCGUAGAUAUCAGGAGGAACACCGGCGGCGAAGGCGGCCUGCUGGACCGCGACUGACGUUGAGGCUCGAGAGCGUGGGGAGCGAACAGG